Molecule: long non-coding RNA, 1208 nt
Filed under: Oncorhynchus kisutch (coho salmon)
Lineage: Eukaryota; Metazoa; Chordata; Actinopteri; Salmoniformes; Salmonidae
Description: lncRNA (ENSOKIG00005015804.1)
Source: RNAcentral
GUUAAUUCCCACAAAAAGUUUCCACCUCUGAAUAUUCCCCAAAAUAUGCAACCCUUAAUCAUUAUUAAAGUGGCAUUAAUAAUCAAGUCUGUAUGUAGGCAGUUAGUGAUGGCUGUUUAACAGUCUGACGGCCUUGAGAGAACCUAUUUUUCAUUCUCUCCCUCCCAGCUUUGAUGCACCUGUACUGACUUUCCCAAAUCAUGUACCAUCAAUUGAAUGUACCACAGGUGAACUCCAAUCAAGUUGUAGAAGCAUUUCAAGGAUGAUCAAUGGAAACAGGAUGCACAUGAGCUAAAUUUUGCCUCUCAUCGCAAAGGGUCUGAAUACUUCUGUAAAUGUGAUAUUUCCGUUUUUUAUUUGUAAUAUAUUUGCAAAAAUGUCUAAAAACCUGUUUUUGCUUAGUCAUUAUGGGGUAUUGUGUGUAGAUUGAUAAUAUGGGACAAAAAACACACAUUGUGACAAGAGAGACAACACUACAUAAAUAGAGACCUAAGAAAAGCUUCUAUGAGAACACACCUGGAAAAGGUUAACAUAACCAAGAGGACUAAACAGUUCCUGGAUGGGGUUACUUUGAAUUCCAUCCAAAUAAAGAAAUGAACCAAGAAACGUUGAGCAGAAGGAAAUAGGUGACCGUUCCAAACUUUUCUUGCUGAAGAAGCAUGUCAAGCGACAUCAAAGUACAUCCAACCAACCGACCCCGUGUAGUGAAAUAUCAUGGAGUCCUCUAGUGAUGCUAACAAGAUUGUCUAAGGUCAGAAGAGUUAGUCUUUCCAAACAUGUGAUAGUUAAUAACUAACAAGAGUGUUUAGACUGUUGGUUAAUGCAUACUGUUUUCUUCAUCUAUCUAAUCCAUAAAGUGGUGGUUAAGACUCUUCUGAGAGACACUAAAGUGUGUUUGGUGAAGGAAGAGACAGAUGCCAGGAGGGAUGAAGACAACAGUGGAGUCUUGUCUCCUCAGUUCUUUCCUUGUCCACACUGCACCAUCUCCUUUACUGACUGUUACUUCCUGGAGAACCACAUCAAGACCAAACACCAGAAGCAGUACCUGGCCAUGUUGAGAAGCCAAGUCUCAAAGAGUAAAAGAGUGUACGGCCCCACACACAGCUGUGCCCACUGUAGCUGCAUGUUCCAUACACCACGACAGCUAGACAUUCACACCCGCCAGGCCCACCUCUCUGCCUGUCCCCAGAAACCUGCCCCUCCCCUGU